AUGAACGCUGGCGGCGUGCCUAAGACAUGCAAGUCGAGUGGGUUUAGACCCACGGCGAACGGGUGAGUAAUACCUAGGAAUGUAUCUUUAGUUGAGCAUAUCCUUCCGAAAGGAAGAGCAAUUCUCAAUGUGAUCGCAAGAUUAAAGUCGCAAGACGCUAAAGAAGCAGCCUGGGCACCAUCAGCUAGUUGGUAAGGUAAAAGCUUACCAAGGCUAUGACGGUUAGGGGCCCCGAGAGGGGAGACCCCCACACUGGAACUGCGACACGGUCCAGACUCCUACGGGAGGCAGCAGUUUGGAAUUUUGGACAAUGGGCGAAAGCCUGAUCCAGCGACGCCGCGUGGACGAUGAAGGCCUUCGGGUCGUAAAGUCCUUUUGCUCGGGAACAAUUUUUGAGCGUACCGAGAGAAUAAGAGGUUGCUAACUCUGU
RNAcentral lists this ribosomal RNA (430 nucleotides) under uncultured bacterium. Its description in RNAcentral is "bacterial SSU rRNA". It matches the Rfam family "Bacterial small subunit ribosomal RNA", at positions 29 to 506 of the family's 1533-position model. The record is from RNAcentral.